UACGUAGGGGACAAGCGUUGUCCGGAAUCAUUGGGCGUAAAGAGCGUGUAGGCGGUCCGGUCAGUCGGUUGUGAAAGUCAAGGGCUCAACCCUUGAAUGCCGGCCGAUACUGCCGGGCUAGAGUCCGGAAGAGGUGAGUGGAAUUCCUGGUGUAGCGGUGAAGUGCGCAGAUAUCAGGAGGAACACCGAUGGCGAAGGCAGCUCACUGGGACGGUACUGACGCUGAGACGCGAAAGCGUGGGGAGCGAACAGG
RNAcentral lists this ribosomal RNA (253 nucleotides) under uncultured bacterium. RNAcentral describes it as "partial 16S ribosomal RNA". It matches the Rfam family "Bacterial small subunit ribosomal RNA", at positions 524 to 776 of the family's 1533-position model. The record is from RNAcentral.